CCCUUAGAUGUCCUGGGCCGCACGCGCGUUACACUGAUGCAUUCAACGAGCCUAUAACCUUGGCCGAGAGGCCUGGGCAAUCUUGUUAACGUGCAUCGUGAUAGGGAUAGAUUAUUGAAAUUAUUAAUCUUGAACGAGGAAUUCCUAGUAAACGCAGAUCAUCAAUCUGCAUUGAUUACGUCCCUGCCCUUUGUACACACCGCCCGUCGCACCUACCGAUUGAAUGUUUCGGUGAAGAUUCCGGAUAGGACUUUUUUGAUUUAUUUCAAUUUUGUCUUAAAAGCUAUCUAAACCUCAACAUUUAGAGGAAGGUGAAGUCGUAACA
Molecule: ribosomal RNA, 325 nt
Filed under: uncultured eukaryote
Lineage: Eukaryota
Description: partial 18S ribosomal RNA
Rfam family: Eukaryotic small subunit ribosomal RNA
Source: RNAcentral